This 414-nucleotide ribosomal RNA is filed under the name uncultured microorganism. RNAcentral's name for it is "bacterial SSU rRNA". It matches the Rfam family "Archaeal small subunit ribosomal RNA", at positions 459 to 872 of the family's 1478-position model. The record is from RNAcentral.
CAGCCGCCGCGGUAAUACCGGCGGCCCGAGUUGCGGCCACUAUUAUUGGGCUUAAAGCGUCCGUAGCCGGGUUGGUUAGUCUCCCGGGAAAUCUGGCCGCUUAACGGUCAGAAUUCCGGGAGAUACUGCCAGCCUAGGGACCGGGAGAGGCCGAGGGGAUUCCCGGAGUAGGGGUGAAAUCCUAUAAUCCCGGGAGGACCACCUGUGGCGAAGGCGCUCGGCUGGAACGGGUCCGACGGUGAGGGACGAAGGCCAGGGGAGCAAACCGGAUUAGAUACCCGGGUAGUCCUGGCUGUAAACGAUGCGGACUUUGUGUCGGACAAGCUAUGAGCUUGUCCGGUGCCGGAGGGAAACCGUUAAGUCCGCCGCCUGGGGAGUACGGCCGCAAGGCUGAAACUUAAAGGAAUUGGCGGG